Non-coding RNA from Rattus norvegicus (Norway rat), 1952 nucleotides. Lineage: Eukaryota; Metazoa; Chordata; Mammalia; Rodentia; Muridae. The record is from RefSeq and is a predicted model, not a curated record.
UAUACAUACAUGCAUAAUGUAUAUGCAUAUAUGUGUGUGCACUGUGUCUGUAUAAUUGUAUGUAAGUUCUGUAACAACAUGCCUGCUCUGAUGGUAUAAUUGUAUGUGCACAUCUAUCCAAUAUGUAACUAAAUACAUACAUACAUAAAAUAUUAGUUGAAAUACAAUAUGGUUUGAUAUGUUUGAACAUAAUUGAGAAUCUAAAUUUUAACUUAGAAAAGAUUACUCAAAAUGAAUUAGAAAACAUUUACCUUGAGAAAUAUGGAUUAUAGUUCCAUUUGACUUUUGAAGUGUUAUCCUUAGGAUAAUAUUUUUGUAGGAUCAUUAAGUAAUAGUUAUAGCUUCAUUCUUACACUCAGCAAAGGCUUUAGCCAUUAAGUUCCAUUAUUUCAAAACCAUUUGGUCACAUAAUGCAAAUAACAAGUUCAUCAUAAAUUGAACAUACAAAAUAUAAUUACCCCAUUCAACAAUUAGUGCCGAUGUUUCCAUUCAUCACUAAUGAUAAUUUAGGAAGCAUUCUAUCUGCAGGAGAAUGGACAACAAAGAAAUUUCGCUGUCCUUUUUUCAUUGUUGCUUUGAGAUCCCUGAUUAAAGCUCUCAUUAAUGUGGACAUUAAAGACUUUAUUUGACACUCUAACAGCAAUGUGCAAAGACAGGGAAUGCCAGGUGGGUCAAAGGAAGUUCUUGCAUUUCCCAACCAACCAAAUCACAUACCCACAUACUUGGAAAUGUGCCCACCUUACUUUUGUGCCUGCCCUUACCUGCGUAUAGACAACAAUCCACAGUGAUGUAUUUUCAAGUUCCAUCUAUGAUGUCAGAAUUGACAGAACACCAAGUGUUACAUGACUUUGAGAUGUGCAGUUAUGUUUGAGAACCAUAUUGUUUGCCUUCACUCCACUCACUCUUUCCUUCCAUCUGUUCGUUACGGUGGGUACAGCUGCACUUUAGAAACAAAGCCACAAAUGAACAACCAUAGACUUGCCACGAUUUUCUCAUCCUGGGUAUAUUAUUUUCUUUGGAUCAUAAAAACAUUAGUAAAAUUCAGAGGGUCAGGAAAUUGAAGAGAAAUAUAUAGUAGUAGGGGAUGGGGAACUGGGGAUAGCCACUAGAAAGUCCCUGACACAAUGGGAAUGACUUCAGCAGAAAUACAUAACAAAGAGGAGAUAGAACCUAUAGAGACCACCUCUAGUAGUCAUGGGCCCUAGUUGAGUGCUGGGGCCACCUACGUAUCUCAAAAGUGCUAACCUAGAAAGGUCCCUGUCCAAAGGCAGGACAAAAGUUGAAUCAGAAACAGAAGGAAAGGGCAUGCAGAGACUGCCCCAACUAGGGAGUCAUCCCAUCUGCAGACGACAAACCCUGACACUAUUGCUGAUGCCAAGAAGCACUUGCAGACAGGAGCUUGGUAAGGCUCUUCCCUGAGAGGUUCUACCAGCACCUGACCAAUACAGAUGCAGAGACUCACAGCCAAUCAUCACCCUGUUCCCCAGGGACUACAGGAGGGACUAAAAGAGCUGAAGGAGAUUGCAACCCUAUAGGAAGAGCUAUAUAGUAACAAAUGACUGGACCACCGAGAGCUCCCAGAGACUAAAGCACCAAUCAAAGAGAAUAUACACAUGGAGUGAUCCAUGGCUCCAGAUCCCUAUGGAGGCUUGAUGCCCCAACUUAGGAGGAUGCUAGUGUGAAAAAAAAAGAACAACUUCCACUGGUUUCCAGAAAGCUGAACCUAAGAACACCUCGGACAGUUGAAGUAUCUGAGGUAUAAUUGGCCUCAUUUAUGGUAUAGUAAUUAUAUUUACUGGCUAUAGAGCUAAUUUCAAAACACCAUAACCAUUAAUGUUCCUAGUUUUAGGCUUUUUUGCAUAGGAAAUAUUUGCAUAUCAUAACGAAAUAUCAUUGUAAUAAACUAUCAGCUUUAAUAAAGAACCUCAGUAUAUUGACCUGAUAAUUUUAUG